This 500-nucleotide ribosomal RNA is filed under the name uncultured bacterium. RNAcentral's name for it is "partial 16S ribosomal RNA". It matches the Rfam family "Bacterial small subunit ribosomal RNA", at positions 30 to 523 of the family's 1533-position model. The record is from RNAcentral.
AUUGAACGCUGGCGGAAUGCUUUACACAUGCAAGUCGAACGGCAGCACGGACUUCGGUCUGGUGGCGAGUGGCGAACGGGUGAGUAAUGUAUCGGAACGUGCCCAGUCGUGGGGGAUAACGUAGUGAAAAUUACGCUAAUACCGCAUACGAUCUAUGGAUGAAAGCGGGGGAUCGCAAGACCUCGCGCGAUUGGAGCGGCCGAUAUCAGAUUAGGUAGUUGGUGGGGUAAAGGCCCACCAAGCCAACGAUCUGUAGCUGGUCUGAGAGGACGACCAGCCACACGUGAACUGAGACACGGUCGAGACUCCUACGGGAGGCAGCAGUGGGGAAUUUUGGACAAUGGGCGAAAGCAUGAUCCAGCCAUUCCGCGUGCAGGAUGAAGGCCCUCGGGUUGUAAGCUGCUUUUGUACAGAACGAAAAGGUUGCUACUAAUACUAGGAGCUCAUGACGGUACUGUAAGAAUAAGCACCGGCUAACUACGUGCCAGCCGCCGCAGUAA